CGUGAAAUGAAUCACAUUCAAAUACCCCCUUUAUUUGUUUGUGAAAUUUCUCCUUUUGAUUGCGCUGAAAAAAGCUGUAUCCUUAUGGAUGCAGCUUUUUUC
This 102-nucleotide non-coding RNA is filed under the name Listeria grayi. RNAcentral's name for it is "Listeria sRNA rli61". It matches the Rfam family "Listeria sRNA rli61". Lineage: Bacteria; Bacillati; Bacillota; Bacilli; Caryophanales; Listeriaceae. The record is from RNAcentral.